UGGGGCGUGGUCCAAUCGGUAGGGCACCUCACUGUUAAUGAGGACGGUGUUGGUUCGAGUCCAACCGCCCCAGCCA
RNAcentral lists this transfer RNA (76 nucleotides) under Terriglobia bacterium. RNAcentral's name for it is "tRNA-Asn". It matches the Rfam family "tRNA". Rfam says of the family: Transfer RNA (tRNA) molecules are approximately 80 nucleotides in length. The record is from RNAcentral. Lineage: Bacteria; Pseudomonadati; Acidobacteriota; Terriglobia. RNAcentral also lists the same sequence under 10 other names.